GGGUGGAAUAUUUCAAAAAAAAAUUAUCCUAUGAUAUUUUAGAUCUAAUAUCUAUUAGAUCUAAUUCCUAUUAUCUGAUAUUAAAUCUAAAAUUAAAUCUAAAAAUAUGAGGAAUAGAGAAAUACCUCUAGAGUAACUAGAUUACCCUAUAGAUGAUCGCAGCAAUGCCCGAGGUUCUAAAAUAGCCAUGCAGUCAUCUGGCCUCUACCGAUAUCCACUCAAGUAGGAUCUAGAUCAUCUUCUCCUUGCAAAUCU
Molecule: long non-coding RNA, 255 nt
Filed under: Elaeis guineensis (African oil palm)
Lineage: Eukaryota; Viridiplantae; Streptophyta; Magnoliopsida; Arecales; Arecaceae
Description: long non-coding RNA (EGUI_LNC057797)
Source: RNAcentral